GUAAGUUAUUGCCAGGGUUUUUAUUUUGUACUUUAAACCUUAAAUUUAUUUUUUAUAUUUUUUUAAUGUUCAUGUUUUUGAAUGUUUUAUUCAAAUAAUGUAAAAAAUAAAAUAGAUAUUGACAUGGAUUGAACAAAAGAUAUAUAUUAUUUUAUGUUGCAUAAACAAAUUGGCAAAAUAGAGAUGGAAGAUAAAAAUAUGGUCAAAGUAAUAAGAGUC
RNAcentral lists this unclassified non-coding RNA (219 nucleotides) under Borreliella valaisiana. RNAcentral's name for it is "partial 5S-23S ribosomal RNA intergenic spacer region". The record is from RNAcentral. Lineage: Bacteria; Pseudomonadati; Spirochaetota; Spirochaetia; Spirochaetales; Borreliaceae.